This 936-nucleotide ribosomal RNA is filed under the name uncultured bacterium. RNAcentral's name for it is "bacterial SSU rRNA". The stretch from base 59 to 611 matches the Rfam family "Bacterial small subunit ribosomal RNA", at positions 34 to 540 of the family's 1533-position model. The record is from RNAcentral.
GAUCCAAUAGACGGCCGUAGUCAUCANAUGGUGUAUGGUUCUAANGUCUCACNCUGGCCGCUCGUCUGUUACAGCCUAAUACAUGCAAGUCGAGCGAAUGGAUAUAAGAGCUUGCUCUUAUGAAGUUAGCGGCGGACGGGUGAGUAACACGUGGGUAACCUGCCCAUAAGACUGGGAUAACUCCGGGAAACCGGGGCUAAUACCGGAUAACAUAUUUGAACCGCAUAGGUUCGAAAUUGAAAGGCGGCUUCGGCUGUACACUUAUAGGAUAGGACCCGCGUCGCAUAUAGCUAGUUGGUGAGUGUAACGGCUCACCAAGGCAACGAUAGCGUAGCCGACCUAGAGAGGGUGAUACGGCCACACUGNGGACUGAGACAUCGGCUCCAGACUCCUACGGGAGUGCAGCAGUAGGGAAUCUUCCGCAAUGGACGAAAGUCUGACGGAAUCAACGCCGCGUGAGUAGAUGAAGGCUUUCGGGUCGUAAAACUUCUGUAUGUUAGGGACAGAACAAGUGCUACGUUGAAUAAUGCUGGCACCUUGACGGUACCUAACCAGAAAGUCCACGGCUAACUACGUGUCCAGCAGCCGCGGUAAUACGUAGGUGGCAAGCGUUAUCCGGAAUUAUNGGCGCCGUAAACAGCCGCGCGCCAGGGCGCGNCCUACUAAAAAGUACUGAUGUAGAAAAGCCCCACGGGCCUCCAACCCGCUCGGGAGCGGGUCCACUGGGCAAACUUGGGAGACUUGAAGCUNGCCGNAACGAAGGGAACAGUGGGGACAUUUCCCAUUGGUGUAAGCGGGUGAAAAUNGGCGUCAGANAANUGGAGAGAACACAAUGGGACGAAAAGCGAAAAUACUGGCUACGAGAACUAGAACCUGAGGCGCAAAGACGUNGUGGAACACACGGAUAAAACCCGGAGCCACNCNGAACACAANCAC